GCCGGAAGUUGACUACACACAUGUUAAUUUGACAACUCAACAUCAGAAACUGAAGAUUUCAACAUUUUGCAUUGUUGCUAAUUCUAAUUCGGUACAUGCUGCACGCUGACAAUUUAUUGAAUGAUUCCUUACAUUUAAUUUUUGAAUUAUUAACUAAACCGGGGACAAAUGCAUUAUACUGUUAUAGUACACAACAAUUAUGCAUCAGUAAGAAAAAGGGGGACCUAGGCUAUGUCUGUUAAAUUAGAAUUCAACAGCAACUUUACCACAGAAUAUAGAUAAGAAUUUACAUUUAGUUUUUGAAAGUUUAUAAUGAAGAACAAAUGUAUUGAACUUAAGCAGGUUAGAUAUACUGUUCACAGUUAAAAUAUUACAGCAUACAAAUUCAUGUAUAUUACUUUUUUCAAACACAAACUGCUGCUUUAGAGUCACUUUAUUAUCGUUCUUAUCUUCACUAAACUAGUAUGAUUGCAAUGGUUUGAUAUUGGCUUGAAUUGGUAUAUGUGCUUCAGCUUGUCAUUUGGUCUGUCAAUGAAUAGUGGAUUCAAAUGUUGUCAUAUAUAUUUAUAUCUUUAAUAUUUUUACAAGGUCUUUGUUCUCAGCAUGUACAUUUCUUGUAUUUUGUUCCAAAGAUUAAGCACAAACAUAAGGAGAAGACCAUUAGAUAUUCUUUUGCCAGGAGGUUAAUAGAGUGUCUGACAUCUAUUUAUCGUGGAUCACCAGCCAAGUAGUCAGCUUGCUCAUCGUUACUACGGCAGGGGGUCAGGAUUUUUUUUAAAAAUGGUGCAAAAUCCUGCAUUUUUGGGGUACUCUAUACCCUUAUUCAGACCUCUGAAAACAUCAUUUUUUACUGAAGAUAAUGUAAAUGAUUAACUAAAAUUAGCAACAUGAUGGGUAAAUUUUCUGUACAUUGAUCAUCUUGAUGGACCAAUAUACAUUUCUGUGCAUUUUCCUGUUGGUUGACUGCUAGUAAAUAUUUUUGAACUGAAAGAAUCCAAAGAUCUUAGUUUGAAUAGAAACAUAUUGUCUCUGGUUUGAAUUAUCACUUGAAUUAUUUAGUUUUAAAUGAAAAUUGUAAUUCUGACAUUAUAUUAAAAAAGUGUUGGUUUUGUUUUUUAUACAAAAUUAAAAACAAUAUUUGCUGACUAGUAGUCAUGAAGCUAGAGCUUCGAUUUCAAAGUUAAAACUUUUACAGAGUUGCUAUAUUUUAUAAUAUCGUAUGCUCUCCCCAAAAAGAUUUGAAAAUUUAGACUAAAAAUCCUGCAUUCUGAGCAUACCUGGGAGUGAUUUAGAUGCUUGGGAAAAUGUAAAUUUUGUCUUAUUUUUGUUGUUGACUUCAAUCACAUUUGAAAAAAAAAAAAAAAAAUGGGAAUCCGCAGUCCUGGCAAGGUUAAUCUAUAUUGAUUUUUUUUUUUGGGAAGGUGUCUUUUGUAAGACAACUAAGGAAGUCUGUUCUUGAAUAUAGGUAAAUAAUAGGUGAAAUAUUAUAAUUUUAUUUCAAUAAUAAUCGAAUUUAUCAAAUAUCCUAGACGUUAUUUUGCGUACGUACUUAGUGACAAAUGACCCCCUUUUUUCUCAUAAGACUUGUACACGUAUUUAAAACAUGUUGUCAAGCUAUGUCCUUUUAUUUUUUCUUAUUUGUUAACUGUCCAGUAAGCAGUAAACUAAAAUCCUUUUGAACUAAAGAUAUUUUUAAAAAUUAUUUGUGGUCGACAAUAUUCUACUUUCGUUAUUGACCUUCAUUCUCUGGACACCAUGUGGUCGUGGGCUUUGAAAUGUGAACUACAAAAGGUGGUGAUUUCCAGAUUUUUGACAACAUUAUACUUUCUUUUAUUUGAUUAUAUUUUCAUAACAUGCUAGUCAUCGCAAAAACCGAACAGGGUCAUAAUGUCCAUCGGAACAUCUCUCUUUUUAUCCUUGCAAACAUACAAUACUUUCCGACUUUAAAUAGACGACCAAUCAAUGGACUGCAUUUACAUGAACUAUAUUUAGUCAAAGGUAAACACUGAUUUACAUCCUUGUUUAUCGAGACUUUAAUCGUGGAAGCUGAUGCAUUGAGCAAUUUUUUUUUAAUAUUAACCUGACUAUCUUUUUAUCUUUAUUAUUUUUUUUACUCAUGCAAAAAUAGCCGGCGGGAAAAGGACAAUAACCGGCGAAAAUCGCCGGCUGCCGGCUUUAAACGACAUCACUGGGGUAUGGAAAACGAAGAUGUGAAAUAAAAGAAGAAUGUGUCUGAUGACACUAAUGACCUGGCUCAAGCCUGGUGAAAAUACUUUAUAAGAGAUUCUGAUGUUAGUGUUUUUAUGCCCCACCUAAAAUAGUAGAGCCAUUAUGUUUUCUGUUCCAGUGAUCUGGAAGGUUUUUUUCCUUAUGGGCCCAGGGCCCCUCAAAAAUAAAUGCAAUGGGCCAUUUUAAAAAAUAAUGGGCCAUUUGAAUUGACUUCUGUAAAAAAAAAAGUAUCAGUAUAUUUUGACAAAGAGGUGUUCAUGAUGUUGGUACUUACAUUGUACCUUUAUGAUUUUAAAUAAAAUCAUGGAUAUUGUUCCUGUUAUUUUGUAAUUUCAGUUUCAAUGAAUAUACAAUAACUUCUUCCUGACAUUAUAAAAUUAAGUUAACCUUUAUUUUCAAUGUUUAAACUGGUACUGUUGUGGUUUCAUGUUCAUGUGUUUUUUUUGUACAUUAUAUUUGGGUCUUCGUUGAUACCACUACUAUUCCAGACGUUCUGUAUAAGAGGACAUUUCAGGCAUUUCCUCUGCACUUCUUGUAUUAUUAUAACUUAAUCACGGUGACAAGAAUAACAGUAAAGAGUACCAUUUAUUCAUAGGUCAAAACAACAAAUCGCUGAAGUCAUGUUUACAAAAUGUCAAAACAAGCCAAAGACCAAAAAUGACAAGGACAGUUAAGCAUCUUUUAUGGAGACAAAAAAUAUAUAAUUCCUAAAAAGUCUUUGGGGUUCUUCAAUCGAAAUAAUAGCAAGCUGAACUAAAUAAGAUUAUUAUUGGAGUUAAAUCUCGUCUUUACUAGCCAAAUUUCCCAAAUUUAAAAUUGUUUAUAAAAAAAAUAUAUCAUGAAUGAUGGUUAAUUACGUUUUUCGGGUUAUCAGUUAGAUCGCAUGGAUCUAUUAUGACAAUUGGAAAACACCCAAGACGUUAAACCGCAUGGUUUUAUUAUCAUAGGGAAACACCCGAGGCAUCCUAAAAAUAUAUAGGGGCUCCUAUUAUUGGAGGAACAUUACACAGUUGUGUGUACACACACAUGGUGGCACGGAACACGAUCGGAAAUCCAUUUGACGAUAUCUAAGUGUUUCGAAACGAAGUGAAAAAUAUCAUGCACCACGUGGGCGCUUAUAUUUGUCUCUGUGCCAUUUCUUGUCAAUAUGCGCUAUAGACGCAGGGUGCACGUCCUUCCCGAUCACUGCUGGUCUGGGGGGUCGUUUGUCUGUGUGUCUGUUGGUUCGUCUGUCCCGCUUCAGGUUAAAGUUUUUAAUCAAGGUAGUUUUUGAUGAAGUUGAGAAGUCCAAUCAACUUGGAAACUUAGUACACAUGUUCCCUAGGAUAUGAUCUUUCUAAUUCUAAUUCCAAAUUAGAGUUCUGACCCCAAUUUCAGGGUCCACUGAACAUAGAAAAUGAUAGUACAAGUAGGGCAUCCAUGUACUUGGGGACACAUUCUUGCUUGAGCAUGCAACAGAAAGUUUGACAAUUGGGUAGUGAUCUAGUGGCACAGUGUUAAAAACUUCUUAAAAACUUAAUGUUUUAAGAGGUAGAAGACUGGAUCCUUCAUACUUUGUAUAAAGAUAAGCUAUGUAGUGAUGUUUCCUUCUGUCAUAUGUCCAGUGUUUGUGACCUCAUUUUCAUGAUUCAGUGACUAUUUGGAAAAAAAGUUCAGAUUUUUAAUAUUCUUUAUUUCUCACUUAUUAUGAGUUAUAGGAUCACUAUAUUUAGUAUCUGUGUACCUUGUAAGGUCCUCAUGCCUGUCAGACAUUUUUGACUUAACCUCAUUUCAUGGAUCAGUGAAAAACGUUAAGUUUUGAUGGUCAAGUCCAUAUCUUUGAUACUAUGAGCAAUACUUCUACUAUAUUUGAUGUAUGACAUGAUACCAGUACAUGUCCAUCUGAUAAGUGUCAUCUGACCUUGAUCUCAUUUUCAUGGUUAAGUGGUUAAAAUCAAUUUUUAUGUUUUGGUGUCUUUUUCUAAUACUAACUGUAAUGACUGUAUGCAAUAGGUCAACUAUAUUUGGUGCAUGAAAAUAUUUUAGGAUGUUCAUGUCAGUCAGGUAUCUUUUCCUUUACCUUGACCUCAUUUUUAGCUCACCUGGCCCAAAGGGCCAAGUGAGCUUUUUUCAUCACUUGGCAUCCGGCGUCCGGUGUCCGUAAACUUUUACAAAAAUCUUCUCCUAUAUAUCACUUGGUGUCCACCAUCUGGUGUCCAUAAACUUUUACAAAAAUCUUCUCCUCUGAAACUACUGGGCUAAAUUUAAUAAAACUUUGCCACAAUCAUCAUUGGGGUAUCUUGUUUAAAAAAUGUGUCCGAUGACCCUGCCAACCAACCAAGAUGGCCGCCAUGGCUAAAAAUAGAACAUAGGGGUAAAAUGUAGAUUUUGGCUUAUAUCUCUGAAACCAAAGCAUUUAGAGCAAAUCUGACACGAAGUAAAAUUGUUUAUCCGGUCAAGAUCUUUCUGGCCGGAAAUAUUUAGAAAAAUUUGACAACCCAUUGGGUUGCUGCCCCCGAAUUAGUAAUUUUAAGGGAAUUUGCAGUUUUUGGUUAUUAUCUUGAAUAUUAUAAAAGAUAGAGAUAAACUGUAAACAGCAAUAAUGUUCAGCAAAGUAAGAUCUACAAAUAUGUCAACAUGACCAAAAUAGUCAGUUGACCCCUUAAGGAGUUAUUGCCCUUUAUUCAACCAUUUUUCCAACAUUUUAGUAAUCUUUUAAAAAAAAUCUUCUCCUCUGAAACUACUAAGACAAAUUUAACCAAACUUGUCCACAAUCAUCAUUAGGGUAUCUUGUUUAAAAAUAUUGUCUGAUGAUUCUGCCUGUGAACCAAGAUGGCUGACAUAGCUUAAAAUAGUACAUAGGGUAAAAUGCAGUUUUUUGCUCAUAUCUCAGAAACCAAAGCAUUUAGAGCAAAUCUGAUAAGGGUAAAUUUUUUCGAUAAGUCAAGGUCUGUCUGUCCUGAAAUUUGUAGACCAAUCAGGCAACCUGUUGUUGGGUUACUGCCACUGAAUUGGUAAUUUUAAGAAAAUUUUGUAGCUUUUGGUUAUUUUAUUAAAAAUUAUAUAGAUACAGGUAAACUGUAAACAGCAAUAAUGUACAGCAAAGUAAGACCUACAAAUAAGUCAGCAUGAUCAAAAUGGUCAAUUGAGAUAUUACCCUUUAAAGUAAAUUUUUAACGAUUUUCAUGAAUUUUGUAAAUUUUUUACAAAAUACUUUAACUACUGGGCCAAGUUUAAUAUAGUUAGAGAUAAUUGUAAGCAGAUAGAGUGUUCAAUAAAGUAAGAUCUACAAACACAUCACCAUCACCCAAACACAAUUUUGUCAUGAAUCCAUCUGUGUCCUUUGUUUAUGAUAUGCACAUAGACCAAGGUGAGGGACACAGGCUCUUUAGAGCCUCUAGUUAUGGUUCAUUGCUCAAUGUUAGGUUUUGUAUAUUGACCUGUUUUUCUAAUGCUAUAAGCAAUAGGUCAACCAUAUUUAGUGUGUGGCAUGAUUCUAAGUUGAAUAUUUCUGUCUGGCAAUAAUCAUUUGACCAUGACCUUAUUUUCAUGGAUAAUUGGUCAGUAUUAUGUUUUCCUGGUAAAGUUUGUUUCUUAGAUACAAUAAGCAAUAAGUCAACUAUUUUUAAAGCAUGUAAUGAUUGUUCUAUUGUCUGUCUUGUAGAGUUCAUCUGACUUUGACCUCAUUUUCAUGGUUCAAUGCUUAAUUUUAAGUUUUCCUGCCUACGUUUGUCACUUAGAUAUAUGCAAUAGAUCAUCUAUAUUUAAAGCGUAUUCGGUGUGUGAAAUGUUUGUACUAUGUACAUGUAUUUCCAGUUGGGUUUUAUCAUUUAUAUGAACUUGACCUCAUUUUUUGGAUCAUGUUAAGUUUAUAUGAUAGUUGUACAUGAAGUAAAGCUUUAUAUUUAGGACUAUCAACAUAAAAAUUAAUGGUUAGAAAAGAAGGCUAAACAUUUCAGUGUGUGCACUAUUGUUAAAGAGCUCUAUUAUUCUUAAUAGUCAUAGAUAUUUUUGUGCUGUAUGCAGGGCUUCCAAAAAAUAUUUGAGCCAGCCAGACAUUUUAUAUCUGAUCCUGAUUUUAAUACCUAAUACCUAAAACUUAGUCACAAAAAGCAGUUAUGGUAAUCAGAUGGCCAUACCAAUGAUUGACAUUACUUUGAUUUGAAUUUGAUGUUCUGAUGUAAACUGUUGAAUUGGCAGUGCAUCAUUCAAAGUGUGCACAUCAGCCUGCUCAUAUCUGCCUUAGACUCUUUAUUUUUUAAAAUGACUUUGUCAAAAACUUUACUUUCGUUUUAAAAAUCACAUUUUCUUAAAACCAGAUGUUGAUUUGACAAUGGUAAAACAUAAACCAUAAACCGUACUUAAAAUCUGUGUACGUUUAGGUGUCAGACCACUAAUUACUCCCUCCAAUUUAAAACGUAUGUAAAAGUAGUCCUACUCUGACACAAAAUAGUGCUUUUGAUGCCAUUGUUUACUUAAACUAACCAACAAAUUUGCAGAAAUGAAACUUUUGGUGAAAGGGAAAUAUAUUUAGACCAUUUUAAGCCAAAAUCCACUUGUCUAUUUGUUUGUGUUAAAAAUUCAGGAUUAAUGCGCUACAUAGUACACUAAUUUAAGAUUUCCAGAAAACCAGGAGUUAUUUUGGUAGUACCUGUGUUUUCAAAAUCAGAAAUUUCUAAUGAGACUUUAAACAUUGGUUGAAAAUUGGCAUGUAGAAAGGUGAUAUAUGUACAAUUCAGGAUAUACCUGGUUUCCUUGAAGUUAAACUUUAGGUAAAAUAUUUAGAAAGCUGUGAAAAUUGCAAAAUUUGGUUGAACAGAUAGGGAUUUUUAAUUGGUGGUCUGAUCUUGAAAACACAGGUACUACCAAAAUAACUCCUGGCUGUGUGGUAUUUCAUAUUUUCGUUGAUUUUAUUUCUUGUUUAACAACAUUCCUGAUAAGUUAUGUUGUGUAGUGUCUCAGUUCUUGAAUAAUGCUUUAUUUCUUUUACUCCUUAUCUCUUUUUUAGCUUUACUUGUCUGCAAGUUUUGGUUCUGAGCAUUCUGUAGAAUUUUUUCAUAAAAUUUGGAUGAAGAAAACUAAGUUAAAGUGCAGAAAUGAAAAUGGGACAGACAGACAGAUGAUUAAGGGCAACAUGUUAUGCUCCCUUCUCCUAGCGACUGGGGCAUUAAAAGUUAAAAGAAAUUGAAGUGAUGAUUUUUGUGUUUAAAAGGAAAAGAACCAAAAAACAAUAGUUAUUUAACUUAAUUUAAAAAGAUUUGCAAUGAACUUUAUUUGGUGAGAAGUAAUUAUUAGAUGAUAAUCACUUACUUUCUGUUAUCAUACAAUUUCUUUUGAUAAUUUAAAUGAGAUAUUUCCUCAUUGAAUUUGACCAACAGACACCUGUUUUCUCUUCAGUUUUAAAUUAUUUAAUUACAACUGUAUUUAUCAAUGCCUGGAUCUCUUAAUGAAAUGUAAGUUUUAUCUGCUUUUUAAUGUAAAUCUGUUUGAGAGUAUAUAUAGAUGUAAUUAACUAAAUUAGUUUGUUGAUAAAGUUGUUAGAUUUACUUAUCUCCUUGAUAGUUUGAUAAUUGUUCCCAAUUUUUUGAUAAAAAACUUAUUACCAAUUGAAUCCUGUGGGUGUUUAUGUAAUGUUUUGGAACUUUUCCAUACUUUUAUGUGUCUGAUUAAUUUAUACUGCCUAAAUUCAGUUUAUAGUGAAGACAAUGUAUAAGUAUUUAUGAUUAAACAAUUAACAGCUUUGAUUACUUGUUUUCAGCUGGCUAUUUAACAGUAAGCUAAUACAUUGACUAUUUUGAAAAUCUUUUGUACUAAAAAAAAAAAAGCUUGCCAAGGUGCAAUUUUAUAUUCUAUUUAAAAACAAAACAAAAAAAUUCUUCACAAAAAUGUUAAAAAAAAAUUACAGAUUGAAUUCCCUCUGUCUGUCUGACCACCUGCCCAUCCAUCUGUUGGUUUGACUUUGAUGUUCCUUAUUUGUUUUCAAUCUUUGCUUUAUCUCUGGUUGGUACUGACCAUGAAAAUGUAAUUUUAUUGGUCAAUGCUUCUGUAGUUCAGUCAUUUUCUCAGACAUUUUAGUAAUAGUUCAACCUUUAUUUGGUGUAUGGGAUGGUUUUAUUGUCCUCAUUGUCAUGGUUCAUUGGUCAAUAUUUGGUGUCGCAUUAAGUUGUUUUUUUAGAUAUUUUAAGAAAAAGGUCAACUAUAUUUGGUGCAUGCCAUGAUUCUGAAGGGAAUAUGUCUGUCUGACAUGUUUCAUUUGACCUUGACCUCACUUUCACAAUAUCCCCAUCAGUUGUAUUUCAUGAGGAAAAUAGGUUGUUUAUUUUUGCUUUAUUUGCCAUUGCAUCAUCAUUUAGUUUUAAACUUGUGAGUUUGAAAACCCCUUUGGUAUUGUUUGCCUCUUUUUUACAGAUAUUCUAUCAGGAGCUGAUUGGAUGUUUCACAGAUGAUAUAGGAUAUGAUGUAACUAUAAUCUCAUUUUCACAUCCCUUUUCAGGAAUGUGACCUACUGAAUUAGACUAUUUACCAGGUUUGACAUGAGUAACAUGGCUGGCACCAAAUGUGUUUCCUGAAUUUGUGUUUGUCUUUUUAUGCCCCCCCCCAACUAAAAGUUGGGGAGCAUAUUGUUUUACUCCUGUCUGUCUGUCUGUCUUUUAGUUUUCGCUUUCUAACUUUAGUAAAAGUGAAUAGAAUUCUAUGAAAUUUUAACAUAAGGUUUAUGACCACAAAAGGAAGGUUGGGAUUGAUUUUGGGAGUUUUGGUCCCAACAUUUUAGGAAUUAGGGGCCAAAAAGGGCCCAAAUAAGCAUUUUCUUGGUUUUCGCACUAUAACUUUAGUUUAAGUAAAUAGAAAUCUAUGAAAUUUUGACACAAGGUUUAUGACCACUAAAGGAAGGUUGGGAUUGAUUUUGGGAGUUUUAGUUCAAACAGUUUAGGAAUUAGGGGCCAAAAAAGGGCCCAAAUAAGCAUUAUUCUUGGUUUUCGCACAAUAACUUUAGUAUUAGUAAAUAGAAAUCUAUGAAAUUUAAACACGAGGUUCAUGACCACUAAAGGAAGGUUGGGUUUGAUUUUGGGAGUUUUGGUCCCAACAGUUUAGGAAUAAGGGGCCCAAAGGGUCCAAAAUUGAACUUUGUUUGAUUUCAUCAAAAAUUGAAAAAUUGGGGUUCUUUGAUAUGCCGAAUCUAACUGUGUAUGUAGAUUCUUAAUUUUUGGUCCCGUUUUCAAAUUGGUCUACAUUAAGGUCCAAAGGGUCCAAAAUUAAACUUAGUUUUAUUUUAACAAAAAUUGAAUCCUUGGGGUUCUUUGAUAUGCUGAAUCUAAAAAUGUACUUAGAUUUUUGAUUAUUGGCCCAGUUUUCAAGUUGGUCCAAAUCGGGGUCCAAAAUUAAACUUUGUUUGAUUUCAUCAAAAAUUGAAUAAUUGGGGUUCUUUGAUAUGCCAAAUCUAACUGUGUAUGUAGAUUCUUAAUUUUUAGUCCUGUUUUCAAAUUGGUCUACAUUAAAGUCCAAAGGGUCCAAAAUUAAACUAAGUUUGAUUUUAACAAAAAUUGAAUCCUUGGGGUUCUUUGAUAUGCUGAAUCUAAAAAUGUACAUAGAUUUUUGAUUAUUGGCCCAGUUUUCAAGUUGGUUCAAAUCAGGAUCCAAAAUUAUUAUAUAAAGUAUUGUGCAAUAGCAAGAAAUUUUCAAUUGCACAGUAUUCAGCAAUAGCAAGAAAUCUUCAAUUGCACAGUAUUGUGCAAUAGCAAGAAAUUUUCAAUUGCUCAGUAUUGCGCAAUAGCAAGAAAUCUUCAAUUGCACAGUAUUUUGUGCAAUAGCAAAUAUUUUCAAUUGCACAGUAUUGCGCAAUAGCAAGAAAUAUCUAAUUGCACAAUAUUGUGCAAUAGCAAGAAAUUUUCAAUUGAUUGGAGUUAUCUUUCUUUGUCCAGAAUAGUAGUUAAAUCAACUUAAAUCAUUGUUUUAUACAAUAUACAAUGUAUAUUCACUUUUACUACCAACUGAUAAAUUAAAACAAUCUUUACCAUUCAGUGAUAACAAGCACCUUUUGUUACAUUUUAAUAUUUUAUGAUGUAUUUAAAUGAGUAGUUAUUGUUGCAAACUCCAUAAGAAAUUUGAAUUGAGAUCAGUUUUGGAAAAAGGGAAAGGGGGAUGUGAAAAAAAAAUGGGGGGGGGGGGGUUAAAUUUUUUUCUCAUUUCAGAUUUCAUAAAUAAAAAGAAAAUUUCUUCAAACAUUUUUUUGAGAGGAUUAAUAUUCAACAGCAUAGUGAAUUGCUCAAAGGCAAAAAAAAAUAUUUUAAGUUCAUUAGACCACAUUCAUUCUGUGUCCGAAACCUAUGCUGUGUCAACUUUUUAAUCACAAUCCAAAUUUAGAGCUGAAUCCAGCUUGAAUGUUGUGUCCAUACUUGCCCCAACCGUUCAGGGUUCAACCUCUGCGGUCGUAUAAAGCUGUGCCCUGCGGAGCAUCUGGUUGGUUAUUAUCUUGAAUACUAUUAUAGAUAGAGAUAAACUGUAAACAGCAAUAAUGUUCAGCAAAAUAAGACCUACAAAUAAGUCAACAUGACCAAAAUUGUCAGUCAACCCCUUAAGGAGUUAUUGCCUUUUAUAGUCAAUUUUAACAACUUUUUUCGUCAUUUUUUGUAACUUGUACAAAAAUCUUAUUCUCUGAAACUACCGGGCCAAAUUUAUACUAACUUGGCCACAAUCAUAAUUUUGGUAUAGUUUGAAAAAUAUGUCCGAUGACCUCACCUACCAAACAAAAUGGCUGACAUGGCUAAAAUUAGAACAUAGUGGUAAAAUGCAGUUUUUGCUUUAUAUCUUUGAAACUAAGACAUUUAGGGCCAAUCUUUCAAGAUUUAAAUGUCCAUCAGAAUAAGAUCCAUCCCUUAACAAAUUUUCAGAUGAAUCCUACAACCCGAUGUUGGGUUGCUGCCCUAAAAUUGGUAAUUUUAAGGAAAUUUUGCAGUUUUUGGUUAUUAUCUUGAAUACUAUUAUAGCAGUCAGGGGACUUACUUAAACAAGUGAUUUUAUAAAUCACUGAUUCAAGUAACAUUAUUUCCAUAAAGGUUGGAAGUUAGAGUUGUCUUUCUUUAAUAAUCACCUAUUUAAGUAGUACAAAUUAAUCACUAGAAGAAGUGAUUUAAUUUUAUUGUAGCUUUAAAUAUAGAAUACUAAUGAUCCAAGGACUAAUUAUGUUUCUAAACUUAUCAGAACCAACAUCUGUGUUGUCUAGGAUGACCAGGUCAUUUCAGGUGAUGACAUUGUACUGAAUCUAGGAUAAUGACAUAAAAAUCACUUGUUUAAGUAUCAGACCUCAAUUUCCUUCCCAAAAAUCACUUCUUUAAGUAUCAUUCUGUUAAUUACCCCCACUAAUUUCAACACCCCCGAACAGUGAAAUUUUUAUCGCGCGAACAGUAGAAUUUUAUUACAUAAUCUGAAAGAUGAAACCUUGAACUUCACAGGAAAAAUACUCCCACUGCUGUGAAAAAUCUUUUAAGAAAGUAUCAGUUCAUUAUGUAAAGCCAUUAUUAUAGCAUUUUUUCAACUAAAAUAUAAUUUUCAGCUAAAUGAUAGCAUCAAAGGCAUAAACCUUGCUACUUAAAAGAAUCAAAAAGUUCAUAUUUUUUAAUUUUACUAAUUAAAAGAUAUUAUUUAAACCUAUGAGUUUAAAAUUUUGAAAAAACUACAAAAUCCCAAUUUGUGACAAAACCUCGAAUUUGCUACUCAAAUAAGUGAUUUAAAAAUCACUUAUUUCAGUAAGAGAUAAACUGUAAACAGCAAUAAGGCUUAAAUUAAAAUAUGUUUGUUUGCAGUUUACCGACCGACCCUUGAAAAUCCUCCCGACUGUGAAAAUUUUAUUGCUUUAAAUUUGAAGAAAUUUUUUUUUAAUACUUCUAUUGACGCGAUCCGGAACUUUGGUGUCCUUUCCGGAAAUGAUUUAAAGUCUGGGUCAAUUACGCAUUUUCAAGUUCGGUUUUUCUUAGCUUCCCGUCAAGCGUUCAUGUGACCAUUUAAUGAUAAAGCACAUGGAAAUUGUUUACAGGUAUCCAUGAAGUCACGGAGGAGUACUUUACGCUGUCGUCUCGUGUCAAUUUUAAGACAAAUAACAAACAAAAAAGUUUAUUAGUAAACUGUUUAUACAGAUUCAGGCACAUGUUAUGAUGUGUGAUGAUAUCAUUGACGAUGAUGCAGCGGAUAUUCAUAACUGACACGAUAACCAUUCUGUCUCAAACAAAUCAGGUACAGAAUCUGGAGCCUGACUUUAUGGAACCAAUUUCAGUGGUUAAAUAAUUCGACAGCAGCUUGAAGUAUGGCAUAUUUUCUACAAAUCGUUGUGAAGACGACAAAGAUGAAACCACUCCUCCGUGACUUAAAUCUUCAUGGAUAUCUGUAAACACGCCUGUACGGAGGAAGGGCUCAUUUGAAAAGUUAAUGGAUAUAGAUCAUGCCAAAUCAAUAAGAAGCAACCCUAACUACACAAAGAUGUAGAGAAAAUAAAUGGUUAGCUUGAAAAAUAAAUAUACUCUCUCUAUAUUAAAUCUAUCUUCGAUUGCAAUGAGUAUGCUCCUUUAGGAUAAGGGGGGCUGCCCCACUCAUUGCAAUUAUUCUCUUUCUUACAAUAUUAAAUAUACCCAAACUGUGUGGCCUGUGUGAAUUCAAUUAAAACAUGUCCUUAGGAGCUAUGCCGCCAAUUUUUUUUAUGCAUUAAAAACAUUUCAGUACAGACCAUUUACUUUUAAUGGGGUGCUAUGGAUUUCACCCCAAACUUUAGAUUUCUUUGGUUUUCAUUAAAGCCUGGCAAAAAUAUAACCUUAUCACAUAUAAUUAAAUAUUGUUAGAAAUAUGAAAACAGUCGAAUGUCUUAAUACUUUUUUUUCAAGUUGCCUUUUUUUCAAUUGAGGAAGAUUCAAUGGUUAUUUUUUUUAUUAAAAAUACACUCUUUAAUACAUUGUCUUAUAAAUCUUUAAUAUCUACAUUUUUCUGAUGAAAAUAUUCUACUCAUGAAAACAUUCUAGUCAAGAAGCAUACAUGUCUGAAUAUAUUUCUUUAAAACAGUUCUAGUCAUAAUGACAUUCCUUGUUUAUAAGUGUUCCAGUAUUUAAUAAUUAUACCAUAUUUUAUGUCAUAAAUUGGAUAAUGACACUAUGUUAAAGUUUCAGUUUUGAUUAAAAGUUUUUUAUCUGAAAAUGCCUGUUCAUUUGAUGUUGGUUUUCAGCAUGUCCAGUGUUUGUUGUUUUAAAAUGGUUUUUUUUUCUUCACAAGAAACUUGGUUUAGUGUAACUGCUUGUUUAAACUGUAUUUUGGCUGAUAAAAUAAAAUAUUUUUCCUACCUACCGACCCUUCAGUCUGAAGGUACAGUCGGAAAACUGCAAACAAACAUAUUUUUAAGGUUGGCCUAAUGUUCAGCAAAGUAAGAUCUACAAAUAGGUCAACAUGACCAAAAUUGUCAGAGAACCCCUUAAGGAGUUAUUGUCUUUUAUAGUCAAUAUUGAACAACUUUUCGUCAUUUAUGUAACUUGUACAAAAAUCUUCUUUUCUAAAACUAUGGGCCAAAUUUAACCAAACUGGGCCACAAUCUUUACUAGGGUAUCUAUUUUAAAAAAAGUGUCUAAUUACAGUGACAGGUGAGCAAUACAGGCUCUUGAGAGCCUCUAGUUUCACAUUUUUGUUGAGCUUGAGACUAUUAAACAGCAAAGGUAGGUGAGACACUGGGUUCCACUGAACCCUUACCAAUUUUAAGCCAUGGUGUUGUCAGUUUAUUUUCGAUCUUUGAGUUUGAAUGUCCUUCUGGUAUCUUUGCCCAUCUUUUAUUGUUUUGGAGUCUUUGCCUGAAAAAUUUAAAGAGUUGUACAGUUUUGAAUGCAUUUGGAAGGAAUUUUAAAUUAAUUAUUUCAUUUGAACUGGUGUCUUUAUUACAUCCUAUUUUUGUAACAUUAAUUCCUCCAAUGUUUUACUCAGCUUUUGUGCAUUGAACCUGAAACUAUACAAAAUAUUCAAAUGUUUAUUGCAAAUUACUGAAAUCUACAAACUUGUUUCGUAACUUAUUUUAUUAAUAUGAGCAUUAAAUUGAUAGAAAUGAAGAAGUUCAGUUAGUCACUUCCACAAUUCAUAUAAUUAAUUCGUUAUUCCAUAUCAGAAAAAUAUAAAUAUAGAAAUGCUUUGCUUUGUUUUAUUUGAUUUGAUUUUUUGUUCUGUAAUAUGAUCUUCUUAUAGCUAUAUGGUUUUAUUUGAAGCUAAUUUGUACAGAAAAUUACAAAAAUUAAUCUUGAGGAAAAUAAUAUGGAAUAUUUUAACAUGUUAAUCUGAUUUUUUUCAAAUUACAAAAUCCACUGCAGCUGUGUCCAAUUAACGACUUAUUCCAGAAAAACAACAUAUGACGUUAAUCACUUUCUAAAUGAAUUUUAAACAAUCAAUAUUAUUAUUAUUAUUAUUAUUAAGACUACAUCCACGUGAAUGUUUAUGAUAAAUCCAAGUAAAUUAAAUUCUUGACAAUGGCCUAUCUUUGAUGAAUUUGUCCAACAAAUAGAGCACUAAACAGAAAAUUUUCUCCUUGUUGUAUUUAAACAACAACUAGAUGGUGUAAUUAACUAUUUUUUCUAUUUAUAAAAAAAAUACUGAACUUAAAAGGAACCAAGGGAUGUAAUUCUUGCUUUGAAUAUCAGAAAUACAUGCAGGGAGCUUAUAAUUUGAAGUAAGGAAACAGUUAAAAUAGUCACUCAUUAUAGGACUGCAAAAAAUUGCUAUCACAAUGUCAUCGUCCAAAGAAAUUUGGUUUCUGAAUAAUUUUUUCCUUUCAAGAUUUAAAAAAUCAGUAUCUUUUAGAGGCUGAUAAAGUUUGAAAAGUAGAAGGGGAUGUUAACUGUCCACUGGUAAAUUAACUUGUGAAUUUGUAGGUAUUUUGGCACAAGAGUAAUUAAACCUCUAACGGGAGGGAUUGUGCCUGAUAUUCAUAUGAUGAAGACAUAAUCUUUCAAUCAGUUUAAUUGAGGUCUGGAGCUGGCAUGUCAGUUAACUGCUAGUAGUCUGUUGUUAUUUAUGUAUUAUUGUCAUUUUGUUUAUUUUCUUUUGUUGCAUUUUCUGACAUCGGACUCGGAGUUCUCUUGAACUGAAUUUUAAUGUGCGUAUUGUUUUGUUUAACCCCGCCGCAAUUUUGCGCCUGUCCCAAGUCAGGAGCAUCUGGCCUUUGUUAGUCUUGUAUGAAUUUUAAUUUUAGUUUCUUGUGUAUAAUUUGGAGUUUAGUAUGAUGUCCAUUAUCACUGAACUAGUAUACAUAUUUUUUAAGGGGCCAGCUGAAGGACGCCUCAGGGUGCGGGAUUUUCUCACUACAUUGAAGACCCAUUGGUGGCCUUCGGCUGUUGUCUGCUCUAUGGUCGGGUUGUUGUUGCUUUGACACAUUCCCCAUUUCCUUUCUCAAUUUUAUGUCUAGCUAGAAUAACUUAAUAGUUAGUAUCAUCUGAACUUUAUUUCAUAAUAUUAAGGUCUGCUUGUUACAGAACUUUGUUCUAUGUAAGGGAUUAUCAUUGGUAUACUGCAUUUGUUAUAUUUACACUCAUUUAAACUAUUGACUGUAUAGAGAAAUUUAAAUAGAGUCGAUCAGGCCAAAAAGGUACCAGUACAUGCUAUAGUCAUUUUAAUAUGCUAAAAAUAUGCUGACUUACAGUGAUGGGUAUUUGUCAGAUUUACAAAGGUAAUUUGAUCAUAUGUAUCACUUUUCCAUAGUUAUCUGUCCUUCCUUUCUAAGCACUUUUCUGCAGAAGCACGGAGGCAAAUAAGACCUGACAUCGCAGACAUUUUCUCUAUUACUGUUGUCAAAAGUUUAUUAUUGUUCUGCAAGAAUAUAACACAUUUUUACCAGAACGCAGGGUUUUCAACUGCUGAAACUUUAAAGAGUUCAUACUGACACUCCUUCAAUCAGUUUAAAAAAUGUUUUUGACCCCUUAAUCAAUCAGCUUUAACUAAAUGUUCUUGACAGCCCCCUCCCCCCCCCCUCUUAUUUAGUUGAAAACCUAAUGUUCUUGACACUGCAUCAGUCAGUUCAAACCAAAUGUUCUUGACUCUCCAUCAGUCAGUUGAAACCAAAUGUUCUUGACUCUCAAUCAGUCAGUUGAAACCAAAUGUUCUUGACUCUCAAUCAGUCAGUUGAAACUAAAUGUUCUUGACUCUCAAACAAUCAGUUGAAACCAAAUUUUCUUGACACUUUGUCAGCCUGUUGAAACCAAAUGUCUUUUACAAUUCACCAAUUAGUAAAAACUGAAUGUUCAUUAAACUCUACCAAUCAGUUCAAACUACAUGUUCUUUAUACUCCACUAAUCAGUAGAAACCAACUGUUCUUGACUCCAUGUCAAUAGAAACUAAAUGUUCUUGUCUCUCAAUCAAUCAGUUAAAACCAACUGUUAUUGACUCUCCAUCAGUCAGUUGAAACCAAAUGUUCUUAAUUCCACCAUUAAGUUCAAACCAUGUGUUCUUGACUCCAUCAGUCAGUUGAAAUUAACUGUUCUUGACUCUCCAUCAGUAAGUUGAAACCAAAUGUUCUGGACUCUCCACCAAUCAGUUCAAACCAUGUGUUCUUGACUCAAUCAGUCAAUAGAAACCAAAUGUUUUUGACUCUCCAUCAAUCAAUAGAAACCAAAUGUUUUUGACUCUCCAUCAAUCAGUAGAAACCAACUGUUCUUGACCCCAUCUGUCAAUAGAAACUAAAUGUUCUUGCCUCUCAAUCAAUCAGUAGAAACUAACUGUUUUGACUCUCUGUCAGUUAGUUGAAACCAAAAGUUCUUGACUCUCCAUCAGUCAGUUGAAACCAAAUGUUCUUGACUCUCCACCAAUCAGUUAAAACCAUGUGUUCUUGACUCUCCAUCAGUCAGUUGAAACCAACUGUUCUUGACUCUCCAUUGGUCAGUUGAAACCAAAUGUUCUUGACUCUCCAUCAGUAAAUAGAAACCAAAUGUUCUAAACACUCCAUCAGUCAAUAGAAACCAACUGUUAUUGACUCUCCAUCAGACAGUAGAAACCAAAUGUUCUUUACUCUCCAUCAGUCAAUAGAAACCAAAUGUUCUUGACUCUCCAUCAAUCAGUUCAAACCACAUGUUCUUGACUCUCCAUUAGUCAGUUGAAACCAAAUGUUCUUAACUCUCCAUUGGUCAGUUGAAACCAAAUGUUCUUGACACUGCAUCACUCAGUUGAAACAAAAUGUUCUUGACACUUCACCAAUCAGUUCAAACCCCAUGUUCUUAUCUCUCCAUCAGUCAGUUCAAACCAACUGUUCUUGACUCUGCAUUAGUCAGUUGAAACCAACUGUUCUUGAAUCUCCAUUAGUCAGUUGAAACCAAAUGUUCUUGACACUCCACCAAUCAGUUUGAAACCCAUGUUCUUAACUCUCCAUCAGUCAGUUAAAAACAACUGUUCUUGACUCUGCAUUAGUCAGUUGAAACCAACUGUUCUUGACUCUCCAUUAGUCAGUUGAAACCAAAUGUUCUUGACUCUCCAUUGGUCAGUUGAAACCAAAUGUUCUUGACGCUGCAUUACUCAGUUGAAACAAAAUGUUCUUGACACUCCACCAAUCAGUUCGAACCCCAUGUUCUUAACUCUCCAUCAGUCAGUUGAAACCAACUGUUCUUGACUCUGCAUUAGUCAGUUGAAACCAACUGUUCUUGACUCCAUUAGUCAGUUGAAACCAAAUGUUCUUGACACUACAUUUGUCAGUUGAAACCAACCGUUCGUGUCUCUCCUUCAGUCAGUUGAAACUAAAUCAAUUAAAUUUUAACAUAAGGUUUAUAACCACUAAAGGAAGAUUGGGAUUGGUAUUGAGGGUUUUGGUCCCAACCGUUUAGGAACAAAGGGCCCAAAAGGGGUCAAAAUUAGUAUUUUUCUAGUUUCCAGGCAAUAACUUGUGUGUAAGUGUAUAGAUCAUUCUUAAAUUGAACUACAAGGUUCCAUUCAAAAAAAAGGAAGCAUGGGAUUGAUUUUAUGGGUUAUGGCCCAAACUGUUAAGGAAUUAGGGGCAAAAAAGGGGCAAAAAACAAUACUAUUCUAAUACUUUGUAUAAAUUGCUUAUUUCUUAACCAAUUUCAAUGGGGUUUUAUUCUUGAAUUCUUGGGGUUCUUAAAUAUGCUGAAUCUAUCAGUGGAAUUUGAAUUGGUCCUCAUUUUUAAAUUGGUCCAAAUGAGGUCCAAAGGGUCCAAAAUUAAAUUUAGUUUGAUUUCAUCAAAAUUGGAAUAAUGGAGGUUCUUUGAUAGGCCGAAACUAACCAUGUAUUUAGAUUUUUAAUUUUGGGUCCUGUUUUCAACUUGGUAUACAUUUUGGUCCAAAGGGUUCAAAAUAAAAAUUAGUUUGAUUUUAUUAAAACUUUAGUUCUUUUGGUUCAUUGAUAUGCUGAAUCUAAACAUGUAUUUAGAUUUUUUAUUAUGGGCCCAGUUUUCAAGUUGGUCCAAAUUGGGGUCCAAAACUUAACUUUGUUUGAUUUCAUGAAAAAUUGAAUUCAUGGGAUUCUUUGAUAUGCUGAAUCAAUCCAUGGCCAUUUAUUUAGAUUUUGGAUAUUGGACCAUAAAAUGUAAAUUUAAUUUUUUUAAGUUUAUUAGACCACAUUCAAUCUGUGUCAUACACCUAUGUUGUGUCAACUAUUUAAUCACAAUCCAAAUUCAGAGCUGUAUCAAGCUUGAAUGUUGUGUCCAUACUUGCCCAAACUGUUCAGGGUUCGACCUCUGUGGUUGUAUCAAGCUGUGCCCUGCGGAGCAACUGGUUAAGAAUUUCUACACAAGUUGAAACCAUAGCAAGUUAUUUCAUUUAGCAAAAAAUUUAAAAUAAGGAAAAUGGCAUAAUAGAAUCAAACAUUGAAAAAAGACUGGGAUUACGUAAUUGUCAAAAGAAAAAGGAAAAAAACACCAAACUGCAGUUCACAAAACACUACAUAGAUAACUGGAUUUAAGAGAAAAGUAGAUUUUGUUGUUAAAAAUAAAAUGGGAGUGGGGGAAAGGAGGGUAACUUAGAUGCUUUAAAAAUUAUCCAAAAUGUACAGUAUUUUGUUAUCUUCCAUUCUAUAUGCAUAUAUUUUUCUUAUCUCUUACCAGUUUUCCCACUCCUUAAUUUUGUUUAUAUUCCCAAAUGUUACUUAAUAUGGUGAAUAUAGCCAAUUUAUUGAUCAAAUUAUACACCAACCUUCUAAAAUGUAUUUAUAAUAGAUGUACAGACUAAUGACUAUGUUUAAUUAAACUAGCACCCAUUAUCUUAAAUGAGGUCAAUCAAUAAUGUAACAACAUGUUUUUCGAUUCAGACUAAGGUUAAUUACUGAUUAAGUGUGAUUAGUUUAUUUAUAUGUAAGAUAUGGAUGUGUCUUUGAAAUCUGAAUAUUUCAUGUGAUGUUAAGAAAGAAUUAUAUUAAUACAUGUAAAUAAUAGGAGAUGUUGGUUAAUGUUCAUAAGACUUCAGCCCAACAAAUCAAAUUUACUUGUAGUUAUGCCUUUGUUGUUCUACCAAAUAAUGUAGAAGUAAACAACUAUAGGUCACAGUAUGACCUUCAUUAAUGAGUAGACCAAUACCUCGUAGCACUCUAUAAAAGGCCCAGAAAUGACAAAUGUAAAAUAAUUUUAACAAGAAAACUAACAUCUUGAUUUAUUUAAGAAUAAAGAAAAAAAAUAUGUUAUACAGUAACAAAAGGCAACAACUGAAUUACAGGCUCCUGACUUUGGGUAAAGCAAACCUCCCAUAAAAUUGGGCAGCUACAUAUAAACAGCACAACAUUAGAACGUACUAUAAAGUUCAGUUGAAAAUGGCUUAACUCAUUAUAUCAAUACAAAGCACAGAACACUUCAGACUCAAAGUACAGGCCUUGCGGUCAUAAAACUUUCGAGCACGAUUUCUGUACUCAGACUCAAGAAUCAACCAAUCAAAAUGCUGGAUUUAAUGUUUCGAGCAUGAUUUUUGUGCUCCGAGCAUUGAGCAAAGUUUUAUGACUUCAACCCCAGAUAUGGCAGUACUUCCAGUUACUGAAAGCUAGAUCAAGCCACCAACAACUCAGAAAAAUAUCAUGUAUCUUUGACUAAAAUAUCAAUUGGUAACCCAACGUCCAAUGAAUAUACUGUAAGAUGCCAUUAUCGGUCAGACUUUAACUGACCCCUAAACUAAAUUGUGUACCAGUUCAGCAGAUUACAAAUUACCACAACAAGGUCACAACUUCUAACUAAGCAGCCAAUGGGUGACCAUUAUGGCUACAGGUCCACAUACUUUCUUUUGGAACAAAGGUUCUAUUUUGACAGAGUUAUAAAUGGAAUGAUAUAUACAAAAAUACUGAACAUAUAUCUAGUAAGAUUUAUAGUACUGGUAGAAUGACUCGUAAUUGAGCCAGCAAACCAAAAAUACUGAACAUAUAUCUAGUAAGAUUUAUAGUACUGGUAAAAUGACUCGUAAUUGAGCCAGCAAACCAAAAAUACAUUUCAACUAAAUUAAGGCAUGUUGAAGUAAAAUAUUAAAUCUGAUAACAGAGCCUAAUGAAAUGUUUGCAUAAAAAUAUGAGAUACUGAUAUAUACAAGAAAUUCUGUUGUAAAGAAAUCAAAUACUAGCUGUUAAUUUUAUAAUAUAAAUACCAACAGCAUGUUACUCAAGUUAAAAAGUAAGAUUCAUGUUAACCCAAUUAUUUUCUGUAUUGCAAUUUAAAAAGUGAACAAAAUACUCUUGAUAAUUUCUUUUAAAGAAAUGAGAAAUAAGUUUUUUUUAUUGUAUCUGAAAUGUAAUCUUAUUUCUCAUGCUAAAGCAAUUAAACAUCAUGAUUUUUAAAUUUUGAUCAGCAUGGUAUAUGCACAAAAUAGGUCAGUGUUUAAAUCAAAACAUAAGAAGAAUAUUUUUAUAAUAUAUGGAGGAUAGUUUCUAUAAAACUUUAUUCCCUUUUCUAGUACCAAAAAGAUCCCAAGAAUACUAUUUUCACUCAAAACUGAACUGAUGGGCAAUUACUUAUGCAUGCAAUAUAUUUUCUAAAUAAACAAUAUGGACAAAUUGACUACUAUCAUAUUACCAAUUUUGGCUUAUUUUAUUAUUUUUCAACAUACACUGUGGUAGGACAUCCUGGUACAUGAUCAAGUAAGAGCAAGUCAAAGAAGGAAAAUCUAGCUUUCAAUCAGUGCAAUUUUGGGGUAAAUUAACUGUUUUAUGUUUUUUUUAUACACAGCAAAAUCAAUGGAAAACAAAAAAAAUUCUACAAAUUUUGCUGAUUGUAAACUUCAUUUUACUUUUUUGGUUGCUCUUACUGGACUUGUCUACCAGAAUGUCUUACCACAGAGUAGGACUCCAUGUUGAAAAAAUUAUACUCUUUUUAGUGCUGACAUAAUCCUGAUUUUGUUAGUAUGCACCUUAACUUGUCAUGUUUGUACUGUAUUGCAAUAUAAAGCAGAAUCUAGUUACAGAGACCUGCAAUAUAUAUCAAUGACGGAUCCUACAGUGUUAUAUUGGCAUUUUCAUUUUCAUUUUCAUUUUAAAAAUAUAAUACCUAGCCAGAUGAAAGACUUGAAAAACUGAAAUAUCCAAAAUUAAGAUAAGUCUCCUUUUGAUGAGACCUCUUUUUUAUACAACCGCAAAAAUUGAAAAUUUUUUGGUCGUAUUUUGGUAUCACGUUGGCGUCGUCGUCAUCCAAAGACAUUUGGUUUUCUAUUUGGCACUCUAACUUUAGUAAAAGGAAAUAGAAAUCUAUGAAAUUUUAACACAAGGUUAAUGACCACAAAAGGAAGGGUUGGGAUUGAUUUUGGGAGUUUUAGUCCAAACAGUUUAAGAAUUAGGGGCCAAAAACAGGUCCCAAAUAAGCAUUUUUCUUGGUAUUUGCACAAUAUUAAACUAUAGUACAAUGUAUAAGUUAAUAGAAAUCUAUGAAAUUUUAACACAAGGUUUAUGACCACAAAAGAAAGGUUUGGAUUGAUUUUGGGAGUUUUGGUCCAAACGAAUUAGGGGCCAAAAGGGUCCAAAAUUAAACUUUGUUUGAUUUCAUCAAAAAAUGAAUUAUUGGGGUUCUUUGAUAUGCCAAAUCUAACUGUGUAUUCAGAUUCUUAGUUUUUGGUCCUGUUUUCAAAUUGGUCUACAUUAAGGUCCAAAGGGUCCAAAAUUUUAACAAAAAUUGAAUUCUUGUGGUUCUUUGAUAUGCUGAAUCUAAACAUGUACUUAGAUUUUUGAUUAUGGGCCCAGUUUUCAAGUUGGUCCAAAUCGGGGUCCAAAAUUAUUAUAUUAAGUAUUGUGCAAUAGUAAGAAAUAUUCAAUUGCACAGUAUUCCCCAAUAGCAAAAAAUCUUCAAUUGGACAGUACAUUUUGUAUUGUGCAAUAGCAAGAAAUUUUCAAUUGCACAGUAUUGUGCAAUAGCAAGAAAUCUUCAAUUGCACAGUAUUGUGCAAUAGCAAGAAAUAUCUAAUGGCCCAAUAUUGCACAAUAGAAAGAAAUUUUCAAUUGCACAGUUUUGCGCAAUAGCAAGAAAUAUUCAAUUGCACAGUAUUGUCCCGUUUUCAAAUUGGUCUACAAUUAAGGUCCAAAGGGUCAAAAAUUAAACUUUGUUUGAUUUCAACAAAAAUUGAAUAUAUGAGGUUUUCCAAUAUGCUGAAUCUAACUAUGUAUUAAGAUUUUUAAUAUUUGGGCCUGGUUAUCAAAUUAGUCCACAUUGAAGUCUAAAGGGUCUAAAAUUGAACAUUAUUUGAUUUCAUUGAAAAUUGAAUUCUUGGGGUUCUAUGAUAUGCUGAAUCUAACCAUGUAUUUAGAUUUUGGAUAUUGGACCAUAAUAAGUAAAUGUCCAAUUUAAAAUUUUUAAGUUUUUAAGUUUAAGUUCUUAGACCAUUAUCAUUCUGUGUCAGAAACAUAUAUUGUGUCAACUAUUUAAUCACAAUCCAAAUUCAGAGCUGUAUCAAGCUUAAAUGUUGUGUCCAUACUUGCCCCAACUGUUCAGGGUUUGACCUCUGCGGUUGUAUAAAGCUGUGCCCUUUCGGAGCAUCUGGUCUAACCAUCAAUUGGUUUAAAAACUUAAAGAACUCUCUGGAAAAUAUGUGUGUAUGUUUUAGUUUCUUGUGUACAAUUUGGAGUUUAGUAUGGUGUUCAUUAUCACUGAACCAGUAUAUAUUUGUUUAGGGGCCAGCUGAAGGACGCCUCCGGGUGCGAGAAUUUUUCGUUGCAUUGAAGACCUGUUGGUGACCUUCUGCUGUUGUCUGCUCUAUGGUCGGGUUGUUGUCUCUUUGGCACAUUCCCCAUUUCCAUUCUCAAUUUUAUGUUGUCUAGCCUAGGAGGUUAAAAUUGACUGUUCAAUAGCAGUCUCUAGCAAACAUUCAAAAGUGAACCAUAAGCAUGGUGAGGAAUUAAGAUAUUACUAAUCUAAGUGAUUCACUCUACAAUAGUGCAACAGUCAUUGCUUUAGAGUGUUUCUCUGACUUUACAUAUCUAUAAUUCUAAUGCAAUUAUUUUGUAUCAAUGGUUCUGAUUGGAUGACAGUUAGCGUAAAAUUCUCUAUCUCCUUGUCUGUAACUAAGGAAGCCGACAUUUUGAAUUGCUGAAUGUAUUGACAUGUAAUUAAUACAAUAAUAAGCCAAAAAAACUCACAUGUUGCACCUAAAAAUCUUCUUUUUAUCAAAUUUUAUUACAUUCUGAAGCAGCACAGAAGUCAGAAAACGGCCGGUGUUAAUGUUUGAGGCCGGAGGAAUACCUAUGACGUCACCUAGUGUAGGGACCAAAGAAGAUAACAUCUUUUCGCGGAAUUUUCUUUAAUGAAGAUUUUACACUGAAAUAAUGAUUGAAAUUUAAUUAUGAACUUGUUUUGCAUUAGAAUAGAGAUAACUGUAUUGUAUUUGAAGCUUUGCUGACGUCCAUCAGUAGUUUUACUGUCGCAAAUACCCGUUUACCUGUCUCCGCUUCGCGUCGCCAGGUAAACUUAAUUUGCGACAGUAAAACUACCGAUGGACGUCCUUAAAGCUUCAAAUACAAUACAGUUAUCUCUUAAUUUAACUGUUUCAGUUGUGUAAAAAUUGUAACUCUGUUUUCAGAUAACUACCGACAGCUGCCACUGUGACAGACAGGAAAAGUUGAACUGUUUGAUGAAAGUAUGCAGUAAAUAAUCGACAGAUAUUUGUAAGUUACCUUACACUUAUGUCCAAAUAUAUGGUGCUUCUUGUAUAAAUGUUUAAUUUAAGAAUGCUUGCUCCUCUGUUUAAAAAUAACAAGUGUUCAAACUUUUAAAACACUGUUACAAACUGAUAUUAUAUAAGAUAUUAUCCUUUAAAAGAAUGAUAGGUCCUUCUCCUUGUUUUAGAGAUAUCAUCAAUGAAAAUAAGGGGGGGAAAUUAUUUUCUCUAGAAAUCAUAUAUUUAACAUUAGCACCUUUUUUUCUUUGGAAAACUAUGAAAAAGUAACCAGGAUCACAGAUACUGUAAGUUGUUGGAAGACAACAUUUACAUUAGAAUUAUAACAAAAAUAAAUGGUAUUUUGGAGUAUUAUUGUGUUAUUUGGUCUUACAAACAUCUACUUCACAUUAUCUUUUUGUUAUGAUAACAAUAUGAAGACAAAGACUAAUAUAAAGGAUACUAGAUAAAAGACCUGACAGAAGUAAUAAUGAAAAUGUAAACUGUCAUCUAAUAUUUUUUUGUUGCCAAUGAGGUACUUUUGAUUAACAAUGAGAUGAUUGAUUGCCAAUGAGAUACGUUUGAUUCCCAAUGAGAUUCUUUUGGUUGCAAAUGAUAUACUAGUGAUUGCCAAUGAGAUAUGAUUGAUUAACAAUGAGAUACUUUUGGUUGCCAAGGAUAUACUAUUGAUUGCCAAUGAGAUACUAUUGAUUGCCAAUGAGAAACUAUUGAUUGCCAAUGAUAUACUAUUGAUUGUUAAUGAGAUACAAUUAAUUGCCAAUGAGAUACUUUGAUUGCCAAUGAGAGAUGAUUGAUUGCCAAGAAUAUACUGUAAACCAAUUUAUUUUCACGGAUACUUUAUUUCGCGUUCUACCCUUUCUUGGCCACUUUGCCGCUAUUUUAUGUCAUGAUUUUACUUGAAGGAAAGAUCUAAGUUUUACAUGUUCGCGACGAUUUAUAUGCGCGUUAUUUUUCUACUCGUGAAAGCCGCGAAAAUAAAUCAUUGCGAAAAUAAGUUGGUUUACAGUACUAGUGAUUGCCAAUGAGAUAUGAUUGAUUGACAAUGAGAUACUUUUGGUUGCCAGGGUAUAUACUAUUGAUUGCCAAUGAGCUACUAUUGAUUGUUAAUGAGAUAUGAUUUAUUGCCAAUGAAAUACUUUGAUCGCCAAUGAGAUACUUUGAUCGCCAACGAGAUACUUUGAUCACUAAUGAGAUACUUUGAUUGUCAAUGAGAUACUUUGAUAGCCAAUGAGAUACUUUAAUUGCAAUGCAAUAUUUUACAAGAAAAAAGAUGUGGUCAAUAACAGGUCACUGUACAGUUGUGAACAACAAGCUAAACCUUUACCUGGAUUUGUUUUUUUCUAAAUGGAUUUAUGACUUUUGAAUACUACUGUUGCCUUUAUUUUAUUUAUAUGUAGUAAGUUAUAAAAGGCCUUUGGAGGGGGUGGGAAUACAACUGCGAAAUAAAAUUGAGAAUGGAAAUGGGGGGAAUGUGUCAAAGAGACAACAACCCGACCAAAGAGCAAACAACAGUCGAAGGCCAUUAAUACAGCAAGUAACUCCCACACCCGGAGGCGUACUUCAGCUGUCCCUAAACAAAAAUGUAUACUAGUUCAGUGAUAUUGGACGUCAUACUAAACACAAGAAACUAAAAUCAAACCUGACUCUGGACAUGCUAAAACCAAUUUUAAAUCUUCCUCAGUUUAUUCAACAUUUGCCAGAUAUUGAAUAAGCUCUCAUUGACGAGUGGUCAAUCCAGAAAUUUUCAUAAGGAGGGGCCAUUGACUGCCUAAGAGGGGGCCUGCUCCAGUCAUGCUUCAGUAGUUCCCUAUAAAAUCAACCAAAUUUUUCCCACAAAAAGGGAGGGAGCCUCUAAAUCUGCCUCUGGUGACACAGAUAAAAUGACACUUUCCUGAAUGACCAGCACACAAAUUUGGUUGAUAUUAAGUACAUGCCAUAAAAGUGAAUAUAAAAUUGGCCACUUGCAAAAUAAUUGAUAGAGCACCUUGGCUUUAUGAUUUUUUGUUAUAAAUAUUCCGAUCCUAUUGCAGCAUAAUGACAUACAUUUGAGUUGGGGACAGAGAGAAAAAAAUAACUUGCAAUUAGGCUAGAAAAAAA
Molecule: long non-coding RNA, 26376 nt
Filed under: Mytilus galloprovincialis (Mediterranean mussel)
Lineage: Eukaryota; Metazoa; Mollusca; Bivalvia; Mytilida; Mytilidae
Source: RNAcentral